GACGAACGCUGGCGGCGUGCCUAACACAUGCAAGUCGAGCGCUGAAGGUUGGUACUUGUACCAACUGGAUGAGCAGCGAACGGGUGAGUAACGCGUGGGGAAUCUGCCUUUGAGCGGGGGACAACAUUUGGAAACGAAUGCUAAUACCGCAUAAAAACUUUAAACACAAGUUUUAAGUUUGAAAGAUGCAAUUGCAUCACUCAAAGACGAUCCUGCGUUGUAUUAGCUAGUUGGUGAGGUAAAGGCUCACCAAGGCGAUGAUACAUAGCCGGCCUGAGAGGGUGGUCGGCCACAUUGGGACCGAGAAACGGCCCAAACUCCUACGGGAGGGAGCAAUAGGGAAACUUGGGCAAUGGGCGGAAGUCUGACCGAGCAACGCCGCGGGAGUGAAGAAGGUUUUCGGGUCGGAAAACUCUGUUGGUAGGGAAGAAAGUGGGUGAGAGUGGAAAGCUCAGCAAGUGACGGUAACUACCGAGAAAGGAACGGCUAACUACGUG
This 497-nucleotide ribosomal RNA is filed under the name uncultured bacterium. Its description in RNAcentral is "partial 16S ribosomal RNA". It matches the Rfam family "Bacterial small subunit ribosomal RNA", at positions 28 to 507 of the family's 1533-position model. The record is from RNAcentral.